GGGGGGGGGGGGGGGGGGGGGGGGGGGGGGGGGGGGGAGCGGGGGGGGGGGGCGUGCGCCUGGGUGCGGCGGCGGGCGGGUGAGUAAUGCCUGGGGAGCUGCCUGGGAGUGGGGGAUCGCGGCCGGAAACGGGGGCUAAGACCGCAUCCGGCCUGAGGUAGAAAGGGGGGGGUCUUCGGGCCUCACGCUGUCGGAUGAGCCUAGGUCGGAUUAGCUGGUUGGUGGGGUAACGGCCUACCAAGGCGAUGAUCCGUGACUGGUCUUAGAGGAUGAUCAGUCACACUGGAACUGAGACACGGUCCAGACUCCUACGGGAGGCAGCAGUGGGGAAUAUUGGACAAUGGGCGAAAGCCUGAUCCAGCCAUGCCGCGUGUGUGAAGAAGGUCUUCGGAUUGUAAAGCACUUUAAGUUGGGAGGAAGGGCAGUAAGUUAAUACCUUGCUGUUUUGACGUUACCAACAGAAUAAGCACCGGCUAACUUCGUG
RNAcentral lists this ribosomal RNA (484 nucleotides) under uncultured bacterium. Its description in RNAcentral is "partial 16S ribosomal RNA". It matches the Rfam family "Bacterial small subunit ribosomal RNA", at positions 38 to 507 of the family's 1533-position model. The record is from RNAcentral.